RNAcentral lists this ribosomal RNA (787 nucleotides) under uncultured Bacteroidota bacterium. Its description in RNAcentral is "bacterial SSU rRNA". It matches the Rfam family "Bacterial small subunit ribosomal RNA", at positions 87 to 876 of the family's 1533-position model. The record is from RNAcentral. Lineage: Bacteria; Pseudomonadati; Bacteroidota.
GCCGGCGACCGGCGCACGGGUGCGUAACGCGUAUCAAACCUGCCUCAUACUCGGGGAUAGCCUUGCGAAAGUAAGAUUAAUACCCGAUGUUGUUGCUUUCUCGCAUGGGAGAGUAACCAAAGAUUUAUCGGUAUGAGAUGGUGAUGCGUCCGAUUAGGUAGUAGGCGGGGUAACGGCCCACCUAGCCUUCGAUCGGUAGGGGUUCUGAGAGGAAGGUCCCCCACACUGGAACUGAGACACGGUCCAGACUCCUACGGGAGGCAGCAGUGAGGAAUAUUGGUCAAUGGGCGAGAGCCUGAACCAGCCAAGUAGCGUGCAGGAUGACGGCCCUCCGGGUUGUAAACUGCUUUUAGUUGGGAAUAAAAAAAGGGACGUGUCCCUUCUUGUAUGUACCUUCAGAAAAAGGACCGGCUAAUUCCGUGCCAGCAGCCGCGGUAAUACGGAAGGUCCAGGCGUUAUCCGGAUUUAUUGGGUUUAAAGGGAGCGUAGGCGGAUUGUUAAGUCAGCGGUUAAAGGGUGUGGCUCAACCAUGCAUUGCCGUUGAAACUGGCGAUCUUGAGUGCAGACAGGGAUGCCGGAAUUCGUGGUGUAGCGGUGAAAUGCUUAGAUAUCACGAAGAACUCCGAUCGCGAAGGCAGGUGUCCGGGCUGCAACUGACGCUGAGGCUCGAAAGUGUGGGUAUCAAACAGGAUUAGAUACCCUGGUAGUCCACACAGUAAACGAUGUAUACUCGCGGUUUGCGAUAGACAGUAAGCCGCCAAGCGAAAGCAUUAAGUAUACCACCUGG